This 256-nucleotide ribosomal RNA is filed under the name uncultured bacterium. RNAcentral's name for it is "partial 16S ribosomal RNA". It matches the Rfam family "Bacterial small subunit ribosomal RNA", at positions 524 to 776 of the family's 1533-position model. The record is from RNAcentral.
UACGGAGGAUGCAAGCGUUUAUCCGGAAUGAUUGGGCGUAAAAGCGUCCGCAGGUGGCUAUGUAAGUCUGCUGUUAAAGAGUGAGGCUCAACCUCAUAAGAGCAGUGGAAACUACAUGGCUAGAGUGCGUUCGGGGCAGAGGGAAUUCCUGGUGUAGCGGUGAAAUGCGUAGAGAUCAGGAAGAACACCGGUGGCGAAAGCGCUCUGCUAGGCCGCAACUGACACUGAGGGACGAAAGGCGUGGGGAGCAAACAGG